RNAcentral lists this long non-coding RNA (1142 nucleotides) under Monodelphis domestica (gray short-tailed opossum). RNAcentral describes it as "lncRNA (ENSMODG00000037948.1)". The record is from RNAcentral. Lineage: Eukaryota; Metazoa; Chordata; Mammalia; Didelphimorphia; Didelphidae.
UCCUGGAUUAAAAAAAAAAAAAAAACCCUGUGGAAAGUUUGUGCUUUGCCCUGCUCCCCACGUGUUUUGUGAAAUUACAAAAUAUACAUAUAAAAAUGAGUACUACAUUCUUUGACAAUUAUAUGGCAGCUGAAGAAGUAGGGGCAUUGAGGAAUGAAGGAUACCUCCAAAUUUUUAUAUUAAUAGGUACUGUCAUUUUUGUACUCCUCAAUACUAUAUUUAGAGAUGAAAAAAUAAAAAAUAUUGAGGAUAAAAUAAAACAAAAUGAGGAUAAAAUAAAACAAAAUGAGGAUAAAAUAAAACAAAAUGAGGAUAAAAUAAAACAAAAUGAGGAUAAAAUAGAAAAUAUUGAGGAUAAAAUAGAAAAUGUUGAGGAUAAAAUAGAAAAAAAUGAGGAUAAAAUAGAAAAUAUUGAGGAUAAAAUAGAAAAUAUUGAGGAUAAAAUAGAAAAAAUUGAGGAUACAAUAGAAAAAAUUGAGGAUACAAUAGAAAAAAUUGAGGAUAAAAUAGGAAAUAUUGAGAAUAAAAUAGAAAAACUUGAGGAUAAAAUAAGAAAUAUUGAGAAUAAAAUAGGAAAUAUUGAGGAUAAAAUGGGAGAUAUGGAAGAUAAAAUAGGAAAAAUUGAGGAUAAAAUGCAAGCCCAAUUAGAAGAUCUAAAAUGUUUCUUACAGGAUCAAUGGGCAAACACCCACUCUACCAGAAACAGACCUGUUUCUGAACCUUUGAAUGAGGAAAUUUCCUUCCCUGAAAUAGAGAUGGAAAACACCUUCCCUAUAGCCCAGUUAACAGACUGCUUCUCUCGUGCAGUGCAAAUCUUGUCUGAAUUUAAUCCCCAAAACCCUUCCCCUGCAAUCCCAGCUUCUCAUGUUCCUUCUACAGAAAACCAAAUUCCAAUGCAAGGGAGAUCUUGUCCUCCUAGAGAAACCUGUCCUUGUCAAACUGACCCACAGGUGCAAAAUUCAACUAGAGGCCUGUUUCCUCUAAGAGAAGUACCUGAAAUAGGACGAAAUGGGGAUGUGGUGACUUUAAGACAUAGGAUACCGUUUACUCCCCAAGAAAUAAAUGAAUUUACACGAAAUAUCCCCACAUAUGAACAAGAUCCUUUUCUAGUAACAAAAAGAUGGGAGACAUAUUUUUUCAUA